This 98-nucleotide small nuclear RNA is filed under the name Canis lupus familiaris (dog). RNAcentral also lists the same sequence under 3 other names. The record is from RNAcentral. Lineage: Eukaryota; Metazoa; Chordata; Mammalia; Carnivora; Canidae.
GGGGUGGCCCAUAUACGAAUAUAGGAAAGAGAAAGAAAAAAUCUGCAUGGCCUUUGGGCAGGUAUGACCUGAACAUUAAUGAAGUGUUCUAAAUUUUA